RNAcentral lists this ribosomal RNA (389 nucleotides) under uncultured bacterium. RNAcentral describes it as "bacterial SSU rRNA". It matches the Rfam family "Bacterial small subunit ribosomal RNA", at positions 958 to 1352 of the family's 1533-position model. The record is from RNAcentral.
AACGCGAAGAACCUUACCCACCUUUGACAUGUUCGGAAUCCUUUAGAGAUAGAGGAGUGCUCGAAAGAGAGCCGAUACACAGGUGCUGCAUGGCUGUCGUCAGCUCGUGUCGUGAGAUGUUGGGUUAAGUCCCGCAACGAGCGCAACCCUUGUCAUUAGUUGCUACGAAAGGGCACUCUAAUGAGACUGCCGGUGACAAACCGGAGGAAGGUGGGGAUGACGUCAAGUCCUCAUGGCCCUUAUGGGUGGGGCUACACACGUCAUACAAUGGCUGGUACAAAGGGUUGCCAACCCGCGAGGGGGAGCUAAUCCCAUAAAGCCAGUCGUAGUCCGGAUCGCAGUCUGCAACUCGACUGCGUGAAGUCGGAAUCGCUAGUAAUCGUGAUCAG